This 420-nucleotide ribosomal RNA is filed under the name uncultured bacterium. Its description in RNAcentral is "bacterial SSU rRNA". It matches the Rfam family "Bacterial small subunit ribosomal RNA", at positions 356 to 773 of the family's 1533-position model. The record is from RNAcentral.
GGGGAAUAUUGGUCAAUGGGCGCAAGCCUGAACCAGCCAUCCCGCGUGCAGGAUGAAGGCCCUAUGGGUCGUAAACUGCUUUUAUACACCAAGAAAAAACAGGACGUGUCCUGGUCUGACGGUAGUGUAUGAAUAAGCAUCGGCUAACUCCGUGCCAGCAGCCGCGGUAAUACGGAGGAUGCGAGCGUUAUCCGGAUUCAUUGGGUUUAAAGGGUGCGUAGGCGGCUUUUUAAGUCAGUGGUGAAAUCUUGCCGCUUAACGGUAAAAUUGCCAUUGAUACUGAAGAGCUUGAGUCCAGUUGAGGUAAGCGGAAUGUGUAGUGUAGCGGUGAAAUGCUUAGAUAUUACACAGAACACCAAUUGCGAAGGCAGCUUACUAAACUGUCACUGACGCUGAUGCACGAAAGCGUGGGGAGCGAAC